AGCUCCAAUAGCGUAUAUUUAAGUUGUUGCAGUUAAAAAGCUCGUAGUUGGAUUUUGGUUAAGAGGGCGCGGUCGGCCGUUUGGUCUGUACUGCGUUGUCUUGACUUCCUGAUGAGGACAUGCUCUUGGUUAACGCUGAGACAUGGAGUCAUCGUGGUUACUUUGAAAAAAUUAGAGUGUUCAAAGCGGGCUUACGCUUGAAUAUAUUAGCAUGGAAUAACACUAUAGGACUCCUGUCCUAUCUCGUUGGUCUCGGGAUGGGAGUAAUGAUUAAGAGGAACAGUUGGGGGCAUUCGUAUUUCAUUGUCAGAGGUGAAAUUCUUGGAUUUAUGAAAGACGAACUUCUGCGAAAGCAUUUGCCAAGGAUGUUUUCA
This 374-nucleotide ribosomal RNA is filed under the name uncultured eukaryote. RNAcentral describes it as "SSU rRNA". It matches the Rfam family "Eukaryotic small subunit ribosomal RNA", at positions 587 to 972 of the family's 1831-position model. The record is from RNAcentral.